This 2200-nucleotide long non-coding RNA is filed under the name Sus scrofa (pig). RNAcentral describes it as "lncRNA (ENSSSCG00030044462.1)". The record is from RNAcentral. Lineage: Eukaryota; Metazoa; Chordata; Mammalia; Artiodactyla; Suidae.
AGUCGGGUUCCUAACCCGCUCAGCCACAACGGAAACUCCUGGCUCAUUUUUAUAACACUGUUUAGCGUGAACUGAAACCCUGCUGGGGUCACCUCUUCCAGCCUGGAAGCAAACCCAGGAAUCUGCGGUGCCUGCCACAAGCUGCUCUGGCCCCAGGGUUCUGGGCAUCAGGAAGGGAGCCAGGCGGGGCUGGGGAACAGCUGUUGACUUCCCCCAGCAGGUGGGUGCUGCUUCCAUGGCGACCAGGCAGAUGCAGAUGGAUUCCUUAGGCAGGGUGUGGGGACUUGAGGGGGUGCACGCAAGGGCUGGAACGGAGAAAGGGAAUUGGGGGUUGUCUCUCUCCUCUAUAUAAUAGCCUCCUUCUGACAAGGAGCUUCUGUUCUUUUCCACUGGAAAGCUUUUAAGAACGCUGAAAAGGACAGGCAAUUACAGGAAGGUUAGGUGCGCCUGAUUGGAUGUUGUUACAGAUCACUCAUUGUCAUACACGGCGUUUGGAAAGGCGGCCAUCGGGGACUGAUUGCCGUUUAGGGAAGCAAAGUCAAUGAAGGACUUUCGGCACGGAAAAAGAUAUGAUGGAAUAUACAGAUCAACGCUUUGGCGCUGGCGAGGCAGAUGGAUUGGAGGUGUCGAGAGACGGAAAGGCCAGUUAGGAGACUAUUGACACAUCCAGUUUUAUAUCUAUGAGAAAAGUCUUGGAUAGCACUAAAGAUUUGGAAACCAUACAUAGCUGGGUGUUAAUUAAAACCAUGGGAGUGGAUAUUAUAUUGUUAGAAAAGAACAAAUGAAGACUGUAGAAAAAAAGAAGGUGGAUGAUGGACAGUAAGAGACACUGAGAUGCGGGUGCAGGGGGAGGGUCCUGCAAUCACAGAGGAGCAGAGAAAGAGUUCCUGCUGCAGCUCAGCAGGCUGAGAACCCAACUGGUAUCCAUGAGGAUGCAAGUUCGAUCCCUGGCCUCGCUCAGUGGCUCAAGGAUCCGGCAUUGCCAUGAGCUGUGGUGUAGGUCGCAGAUGUGGUUCAGAUCCCAAGAUGCUGUGGCUGUGGUGUAGGCCAGCUGCUACAGCUCUGAUUGGACCCCUAGCCUGGGAACCUCCAUAUGCCGCAGGUGUGGCCCUAAAAGGAAAAAAUAAAACAAAACAAAGGAGCAGAGAAGUGGAAGAGCCAGGAAGGACUUGCACCACACAAAGCCAAAAAAAUUCAUAAGUGGCCACUGUGACUUUUUACACCACUGUUAGCAGCCUAGUGUAUCUGAAGUUGCCCUGAUUAAAAGACUCUUUCUCGAUAUGUUUACCAAGCCAUAUUUCUGGAUCUAGCAGGCCACCAAUCAGCAUGGAUGCCAGUUCUGUCUUCCUCCAUGAGGUUUGCUUUUAUUUUUUAAUUUUUUGGCUACACCUGCGACAUGUGGAAGUUCCCGGGCCAGGGAUCAAACACAUGCUACAGUAGUGACCCAAGCUGCUGCAGUGACAAUGCAGGAUCUGCAACCCACUGUACCACCUCUGAGGCUUACUUUUAAAGUUCCACAUCAGGGCUCUCAAAUUCAAACUUUCCAGACAAAGCUGGGAGCAAAAGUGUGUGAAGUAGGUUGGGCAUGAGAUAACACUAUAGAUAGUGGGGUCUGUGGGCACCUGUUAAAGAUGUCCAAAUGGCUUAAAAGCAAGAGAUGGAGCAGACUGGAUUUGGAGGAACACCACACACGUUGACCUCUGACCUGUAGAGCAACUGUGCGGCAAUGUACAGUGUAUUUACAGAUUGCUUCAUUUGACUCCAACCACGGCAUUUGGAGGUAGGUAUUACCAGUGUGCCCAUCUUACAGUACACUCGCUCUGUCUUCAAGACAUCGAGUGACUUGCAUAAGGUCUUAGAGCCAAUGUAUCCUUUAAUGAACCCAGGCCUUGGCCCUGACCCCGAUUCUAUUCUCUCUUCCACACCACAUCAUGGCGGCAUCCACAGUGAGUGCAGGGAGAAAAAGGUGAGAAGUUUUUCUGAGCAAAGGAUGAGCUAUUUUUGUUACUGAAUCUAAAAAUACCAGAAUCCAAGCGACCUACAAAAAACACCAAGAAGCCCGCCUCUGGCCAAGUUCCAAAUGUCAGGGCAUAGAACAGGGAGGAAGUGACACCAGGCAGCGAGGGCUCCUGCUGUCAGGGCAGCCCUGGUGCACAUCUGUCUGAAACUUCUGGAGUGAGCCUAGCCAGAGAGGCUGCAG